Molecule: ribosomal RNA, 218 nt
Filed under: uncultured bacterium
Lineage: Bacteria
Description: partial 16S ribosomal RNA
Rfam family: Bacterial small subunit ribosomal RNA
Source: RNAcentral
ACAGUCUCAGUUCGGAUUGAAGGCUGAAAUUCGCCUUCAUGAAGCCGGAAUUGCUAGUAAUGGCAGGUCAGCAUACUGCCGUGAAUACGUUCCCGGGCCUUGUACACACCGCCCGUCACACCAUGGGAGUUGGGAAUACCCGAAGCCUGUGAGCUAACUUUUAGAGGCAGCAGUCGAAGGUAGAAUCAAUGAUUGGGGUGAAGUCGUAACAAGGUAUC